RNAcentral lists this long non-coding RNA (801 nucleotides) under Malus domestica (apple). Its description in RNAcentral is "long non-coding RNA (MDOM_LNC015101)". The record is from RNAcentral. Lineage: Eukaryota; Viridiplantae; Streptophyta; Magnoliopsida; Rosales; Rosaceae.
GUUGGGGAUCUUGUUGAUUCCUUGCUCGUCUCAAAGUUCGUUCAAAAUCGUCGUCAAAGUCAAAGAUAUGCUUAUGAACAGGUUGAGAACUUCGAGUCAUAAACCACCUAAAACAAGAAAACAAGUAAAAUCAGCAACUAGGAACAAAAACACAUGAAAAUAAACAAAAAGAAAUAACAAGGGAUUAGCAAAGUUGCUAAUCCCAACGGCGCCAAAAACUUGAUGCGAAAAUUAUCUUAACAUACAAAUUUAACCCUCUUUUGACAAUUGUAAUACAAGUAUAAGUAGGGAUCAUUCUGGACCGAGGAUUAGGAAGGCUUUCUAAUAACCUCUAAACUGACUCAAAAACAUAAAACUAAACUUAAAAACACUUAACAAGACUCACAAGACUCAAAGCAAACUUAAAAUACUCAAAACAGCUUAAAACAACCAAAUAAACUUAAACUAGACACUAGGAAUGACUUUGGACGAAAAUUGACUUUAACUUGAAUUAAAACACUUAAAAACACAAACUAAAACAUAUUUGAAACACUUUGAAACAAGAAACUAAAAGGGGGAUUUUGAUUUGGAUGAAGUUGAAACAAACAAACAAGUAUGAAAAACUAGACAGAUUGUAAAACAAAUUUGAGAAAUAAGAUGAUGGAUGGAAUAGCUAGAGGCUUUUUCUCCACACAUGACAUGUAUGCAAAUAACUUGAUUUCCAGUUACUACUUCAUUGAAUUAUGAACAACAAUGCUCCAAAUUAACCGUGACAUCACUAGUUAACUCUCAGAUUUUCCUUGUUUUAUUGGAUUGGAUGAC